This 5490-nucleotide long non-coding RNA is filed under the name Cicer arietinum (chickpea). RNAcentral describes it as "long non-coding RNA (CARI_LNC002699)". Lineage: Eukaryota; Viridiplantae; Streptophyta; Magnoliopsida; Fabales; Fabaceae. The record is from RNAcentral.
AAGAAAACUCUAGAAGUUCUCUCUUUCGACUCUAACUUUCCCCCACCCCGCCAUCACCGCCGUAUACUGCGCCAAAAGAAUUUAUACGUAAAAAUACUAAAAUACUCUGUAAAAUUAACAGAUUACACAUUCUUCCCUUAGCAUUAACGUAAAUCUCUCUCACUCCUGUGACGCCUCCUCUCUGCUCCGACUCUCUCUCCGAUGUGCGUCCCUAGUCUCACCCUUGUGUGGCGCUUCUCCUUCUCAGUUUUCACUUUCAUCGUGUGCCGUUCAUGUUCGUGUUCUCAUCGUGCCUUCGUGCACCGUUUGUUUCGUCUCCAGUUUCCUCUUACCACCGUUCUUCAACACCAACAACGGUUCAAUUGCAACAUUUGGUAAUUUCCUUGCCUGGCCUAUGAUAUGUGACACUGACAUUAGUUUAUUAUAAAUCACUGUUUAUAGGAAUAGAAAUGGCAAAAGUUGUGUUGUUUUGUGAUGUAGAGUUUAUAGAAAAUUUCUCAAAAAUUUGUUUUGUUUUGUUCUGUUUUGUAUGUGCAAGAUUUGUGUUGUUGAUUGUGAAGAAGUUGAAUUGGUUAAACUUGUUUUUGGGACUUGAAGUUUAAUUGUUCUGUUUAUCACGUUGCAUUGGUUAAAUUUUGGUUAAAUUAAACUUGUUAUUAGAAUUUGAAGUUGACUGUGUAGUAGUUUUAUGUUGUUUGUUCUGGUCAUGAUUCAAAAUUGUGCAUAAUUAUACUCUCAUUGUUGUGUUCUUUGGUUUUCUUUGACUUCAUGAUGCUGUUUGUUGCAUAUAUCCCACAAUAUGUCCAAAUACUUUGUUCAAGAUACUAUAGUAGAUAAGGAUUAAAGAAAAUAGAAAUUGAAUAAUCUUCACAACGUACCUGAUUGGUAAAGUGAAACAUAUUCAAGUGAUGGUGGUGACUCAACAUUUUGUGAAAAGUUAUUAUGCUAAGUAAAGUAAAACAUAUUUAAUAAAAAAAUUGAUCCAAAAGGAAUAAUGGUUGGGAAAGGGUUGUGUUAUACUAAAUAUUUCCUCUGUCUAUAUAACUAUUUGUUUGUUCUUAUAAUUCCAAUUACAAAAUAAAAUGACAAUUACUUCCAUUUCAGUAUUGGUAAGAUAGAGAUCUGAACGAGGCCUUGAAUAAUUUUGUUUUGAUUUCAAUUUCUCAAAUUAGAUUUUAUUUCAUCAUUAUGUUUUGCUUAUGCAAAUUCUUGAUUCAUAGUUUAAAAUUGGGCAAAUAUACUUUAAUUGUUCUGUUACUUGGUUUCCUUUGCCUUCAUGAUACUGUUUGUUGCGCAUACAUGCUCCCAUUUUUAGGCUCUUAUGAUUCUAUUUUGUUUAUUAAAUUUGAUAAACAUCUUUAUAUAUACAAGCAUAUACUAACUCUUUAAAUUUGACCUUUAGUGGCAAGUUUGCUUUGAACCCAACAUGCCAACGAAGUGAAUGAAUUCAACUCGGACGAGCUUAAACCUAACCUACUAAGUUGAAUCCUAGUCCAAAUAGGGGAGAACACAAUUCCCCCAUUCUUCACUUUUUAGUAAUUUUGAACUAUGCUUUUUUCUAUGUGGUUUGAAUCUAUCUUGUGAAUAUGCUCAUCAAUUUUUAAUUAUGACGCUAUGUUUUUGGUUUAUGCUGUGGUGCCUAUUUCUAAUCUCACAUGAAGUUUAAAGUUUGUCAACUUCAUUAUGAAUUCUUGAACACGAAGAAAAGGAUGUGUUAGAUGUAAUUCAAAUUGAUUUGUAAUUAGUUAGUUAGAAUAUGGUUAGAAGUUAGUUAGAAUAUAGUUAGAAAUUUGUUAACUUUGUUGUAACUGAUUCAGUAGAAAACUGUUUCUAUAAAAGCCUUCAAAACGAAGAACAAUCUGUAAUGCUGAACCAAAACAUUCUCUAGACUUUCCAGAUUGAUAAUCAAUCUUCGUUUUCCAGAACUUUAUGUUUUCUUCUCUUUUCUUCUCAAUUUCAAUUCCUCUCAAUUAUACAACUUGUUCCAACAAUUGGCAUCAAGAGCUUGGGUUAUAAUUCUUAGGAAACACGAGUGCAAGUUUGAGGGGAAAUCAAAAUUGUGAAACACAAGUGUGAGUGAAAGAAAAGAAAGAAGACAUGAAUGGAGGAGGAUUUCCAUCGAAUUUGCCAACUCUAAAUGGGAAGAACUGGGAGAGGUGGUCUACAUCCAUUAGAUCGUUGUUGGGAUCUCAAGAAGUGUUUGAGAUUGUUCAAGAUGGCUAUGAACAACUUCGUGCGAAUCCAACGGAAAGACAACAAACAACUUUCAAAGAUUGCAAGAAAAUAGAUUGCAAGGCAUUGUUUUACAUCCAACAGAGUGUGGAUUCAAACAACUUUGAAAGGAUAUUGAAGGAAUUUACAUCAAAGGAGGCAUGGGAGAUCUUGGUCAAGUACUAUACAGGUGGGGAAAAGGCCAAUAAAGUGAAGCUCCAAAUGCUAAGAAGGCAAUGCGAAUUAUUGCAGAUGCAAGAAGAUGAAGUUGUGGCAUAUUACUUCCAUCGUGUACAGGUUGUUGUUAAUCAUAUGAGAACAAAUGGUGAAUCAUUAACUGAAAUGGUGAUUAUUGAAAAGAUCUUUAGAACAUUAACACAAACGUACGAUCACAUAGUGGUGGCAAUUGAAGAAUCAAAGGAUCUUGAUAAGAUGAAGGUGGAGGAUUUGCAAGGCUAUCUUGAAGCUUUUGAACUGAGAGUAAGAGAAAGGUGUGCAACAACCUCAACAUCUCAAGUGCAGGCCCUACAGGCCUAAGAUAACAGGAAGACCAACCAAGGUGAUAUGAAGCACAAGAAAGGCAAAGGUAAAUUCAAGUGGUAUAAGAAAUAUGAUUCUGAUGAAGAGACUGAUGGUUCUGAUGAAGGGGCUGGAAGUUCAAGAAAUCAGAACAAAAGUGAUAACAACAACAAGAAUUCGAAUGACAAGAAGAAAUUCAACAAGAAGGGAAUCCAAUGUUACAAUUGUAAAAAAUGGGGGCAUUUUGCAAAUGAAUGCAAAUCCAAGAAAUUCCAAAGAGAUGAUGAUGAAGCUCAAAUGGCAAUUGAGAAUUCAAAUGAUGUGUUAUUGAUAGCCACCACAAAUGGAGAACAUUCUAUGUUUUUAGACAAAGUGUUGUUGAUGGUAACUACAAACCAAGAACGUUCUGGAAAAAGUGUUAAUAACGAAGAACGUUCUUCGUCUCAAUUUUGGUUUUUUGAUACUGGUUGCUCGAAUCACAUGACUGGCCACAAAGAUUGGUUUGUAAGCAUGGAUGAGAAUGUAAAAAGAGAGAUCAGAUUUGCAGAUAAUAGCAAUGUAACUACAGAAGGAGUAGGAAACGUGUUGAUUCAAAGGAGAGAUGGCAAGCAAUAUUUCAUAUGUGAUAUGUUUUAUGUGCCAAGAAUGAAGAACAAUAUGCAGCUGUUGCGACCUAAAAUUUCGAGUGUUUCUCGAAUUCAAUGGAGUCGCCACCAAAAUUCAUUUUAAAAUAGGGAAAAUAUUGAGAAACCUUUAAAUAGUAAAAAUAAAAAAAUGUGGUCUUUGAAACCAAAUUUUGAGUUCGGGAGUCGAUUAUGCGUAGGGAAGGUACUAGCACCCUACGACAUCCGUUAAAAUACGGUUAUCUAUAAUUAAUUGUGCAGAAUUAAUAUUAACUUAAGUAUAUUUAUUUCUCCUUAUUAUUAAAUAUGAAUACGAAUUGUUUUUUAUAAAUGUGAUUUUUGAGAUAAAAUUGUAUUUAAAAAGAGAGGAAGUAAAAGAAGUUGUUAUUAUUGUGCUCGACAAGAGUGUGAUUUUGCUGCUAUGUAUCUCCUAUUGUGAUGGAGAAAUCAAAACUACAUACUUCUUGGGUAAAAAAAUGCAAAUGUGUUAAUUGUUUUUAAAGAAAACAUGUUUUGUUAUUGAUUAAAAAAAUAUUAUUAAACAGAUUCUUUUAAAAAAAUGUUUUUAAAUUAAUUAUUUUAUAAAAACAAGUUUUAGAACUAUUAAGUUAUAUAACUUAUAUUCUGACAACUCAUAGAUUAAAAGAUGAUAUAUUUAAUUAAUAUUUAAUAAAAUAUUUCUUUUUUUAUUAAAAUAUUUAUUAGAAGAUAAAUAUUUCGUUUCUGUUAUUUUAAUUAUUUUAAUUUAUUUUUUGUUUGACCUAAAUGGGAACACUUAUUUAAAUUAUGGAUUCAAAAUUUGUUUAGAUUUAUAAAAUAAUGAUUUUUUUGAUUUUAUAAUAAUUGUAAAAUAUAUACUAAACAUAUUAUUACUUUUUAUUUUAUUUUAAAUUAGUCACAUCUAAUUAAUUUUAACAUAAUAUUUAUUUGUAUUUUUUUAUGAUAAAAUUGAUAUUUAAUUAUGAAGGAAAUCAACCCCUUUUCUUAAAAUAAAUAAAUAAUAAUAAUAAUAAAAUAAAUAGACUUAAAUGGGCUACAUGUUUUAGUUAUUGUUGAAACCCAAGCCCAAACCAACUUAAAACAAAAAGUCCAAAAUGGCAAACCCUAAUUAGAGAGAGGCAACAAAGAAACUAGAGAACCCUAGUUUGAUUGAGGAGGCGGCCAACAUGAAAAGAGGCGGCUAGACAGAAACACGAAUGGAAAGAAAAACCAGGAUGCGAAAACGAAAGAGAAAUGAAGGAACUGCGAUGGUGAGGAAGGUGACAGCUACCUCGGCGACAGUGAGGAAGGUGACGACAACCUCAGCGACGGUGGCAGCGCCGACAACGACAAUGGCGACAGUGACAUCAACGAUGGCAAAAAAGACAUCAUCACAGGUUUGUAUUUUAAUCGUUUUACGUUUCUUUAAAAAAAACCUACAUUUUUAAAAAGUGAUUGUUUGAUGAUGAUAAAGAGCAAGAAGGAAAGAUACCUUAAUGUUUCGUUUUUGUUGUUUAUUACUGCAACUCUCUGAUUUCUUCCCCUUCCCCUUCUCUGUAUGUGUUUUUUUUAUAUAUCAGUAGUGUUAGUCUCCGAUUCUUUCCCCUCUUUGAAAUUUUAUAGGGUAUAUUUAUAGAGUUUUUUAUGUGUUUAGUUGUUUUCUGGUCUGCCUUGGUCCUUCUCUAUCUAUUUCAUGUUUGAUGUUUUGAUUGCUUUGCUCAUCAUCUGUAUUUUCUUGCACCACUGAUGCCUUCAUAAAUUUAGAUUAUUUGUUUUGAUUUGUUGAUUUGCUGAGCAUAUUCAUUUGUCUUUUAGUUUCUUUUUUUAAACUCAAAAAUUUGUCAUUUAGUUUUUAUCAUGUAUACUGAGUCUGACUGGUAAAAAAAAAAUGGUUUUCAGAUUCUCUAAUUAGUUACAGCAAAGGUCAAUGACACUGCAUCUGAAACAGAAAUGCAGCAACAGAGCCAAACACUGCAUCAGAAACAAAGAGGCAACAACAACAACAAAACAGAGCCAAAUGCUUCAUUUGAAAAAGUUUGACCUAAUUUUUAUUGUAAUUUAAUUUGGUUUUAUUUUUUGUUGCAAUUUGAAAUUGUAAUUUGAUUUAAAUUUAGAAUUGUAAUUGUAAAUUGAUUUGGUAUUAAAAAAAUUAUGAGCC